This 5455-nucleotide unclassified non-coding RNA is filed under the name Pomacea canaliculata. RNAcentral's name for it is "eMILIN-1-like, transcript variant X1". The record is from RNAcentral. Lineage: Eukaryota; Metazoa; Mollusca; Gastropoda; Architaenioglossa; Ampullariidae.
UUUAAUUAAUUAAUAUAUUUAAUACGGUGCAGCGGAUAUUUGGUAAUACAGACAGCGUUGUUUUAAUUAGUAUAUAUGUUUAAUACGGCGAAUUAGAUUUUAAUUCAUUUUGACUGGGAUAGUCUAAAAAUUCGGAUCAAUUUCAAAAGCGGAUAUUUGGUAAUACAGACAGCGUUGUUUUAAUUAAUAUAUAUUGUUUAAUACGGUGCAGCGGAUAUUUGGUAAUACAGACAGCGUUGUUUUAAUUUCUAUAUAUGAAUUCGACGAAUUUGCUAAAGAACACUAAACGUAUUGUUUCGAAUUCUGUAAUAUACUGAAAGCGCUGGCGAUUUCUUAUCUCCUAAAUAUAACAUUGUAGCAGCACAGUUGAAAUGAUGGACAAACUUGAGAGUCCCUGGGGUUGCCGCAUUGAAAUUCUGUGCUCAGAGAAACGUCAUAGAACUGCUUGCCGCUGGAUGCAAUCUGUAUCCAUUGUUGAACUUGGUAAAGAACUGGGUACCAGUCCAGCAUCUUGGUUUGAAACUCUGAGUAAUAUCCAUGUGGACAAAAAAAAGUCGGGUAUCUUCUCCUGCACUCUGGUCACCUUGUCCAGCUGGAAGAGUUCUUAACAUUUCAGUUUUAACCCCAUGCUUUUCCCUAAAAAUCCAAAAUGAUUCUCCAGUGCACAUGGACACUCUACUGAUGCUUAGAAGCUCCUCUUGUGAGUCUAUACCAGUACAGAAAGGAUGGUUGGUUAAAACAGGCUUCUGAAGACAGUAUGGAGAAUGGCUGUGAAAACCAGCUGCUGACUUUUUACACUUGACAGUUCCAAUCUGUCAUGGAGCAGCUCUAUGGCAACACCCCGCGACAUGGCUUUUAAAAAUUUUUCUGUGGAUGCAGAGAGACAGAAGGGGCCAGCACGGGCUCUUUUUUCUCCUACUUCCUGUGGUGGGGACAGUGAAUUGGAUGAUGCCAGUCUGGUCUUAACAGUUGAGCAAGAACAGUCCAUCUCUUUAGCUUGUAUUGAGGAACCUGACACUUUGGAGCACACUUUAAAAUCUUCACCUGUCUCAAAUUCUUCAAAAACAUGUGAUUGUGUAAAUAAUACUGUUAAGAAUGGUGAAACAUCUUGUGAAAUUUGUUAUUCUCAAGACAUUUUCCCAUCUGUGGCAGAGAUUGACAGUACAAAAAAAUGCUGAGAGUUCUCUUGAAAGCUCUUUCACAGACACAAAAGAACCUCAUUUUACCUCAAAACAAAAGCUAUGCAAAGAUUGUGAGUCAGACACUAAAGUAUGCAUUCAGACAAACAGGCAUUCAGAUUCAUCUGCAAUUGAAGUUCUUCAUAAUAAUCAGAAUGUGCUUGGAAAAGAAAUACACAGUGAUAAGCAGAUUUACAGGCGUACAUCCACGCCAAAGACUGACAGGUCCAAACUCUGCAAAUUUGCACCUGAUGAUUUAGAUGAAGAAUCUCAUCUUUCGAUGCUGCUGAUAUUGCCGUCUUCCACACCAUUGAGACAUUAUCAACCUUCUCUCCUGUCCAGCCCUGGUCUACAAAACUUCUUCAAAAAGGGCUAGCAUUUUCUGGCUUCAGCUUGUACAUGCAGAAUUCAGGUCAAGAUAGAGUUGAAGCCACAGCAUUUCCUGAAACAUCAUACUUCACUGUGACUUCUGGAUUCACUGAGCACUAUUCAGAUAAACAGAGAAAACUGACCUCUGGGGAGCACCCUGAUAAUUCUGAGGGUACAGCUACAUCUGUGAGGCAGUUCAUGGAGAUUCCAGAAACCAAACAGAAAAGCUGUCCAAAAGCAAAAACUCUUUCGCUUACAGUCCUAUGGAAAACCUCCUCCACUUACUCCUCUGCCCAACUGCAUGUCUCCUGCAGCAGCAAAAGGAUUCAAGCCUGUGAAGAUGAGAAAUGAUAAGAUGUUGCCAUGACUUCCAACCUUGUUGAUUUAAACUUGUGAAGCUUUAUUUACUUUUGAAUGAGAAUUGCCGUGUUGCAAAUGAGUUGCUAGGUCACUGUUAUAUUUAAAUAAAGUCACUGGUUGAAUAACUGGUGAUAUGUAAUGUUAGGCAAGUUUGAAGCCAGCAGUUACAUCUGGUUUAGAAAGAGUAUUAAACUAACAAUAAAAUCUUUGGUAAUUUAAGACCCUCAGAGUUACUGAUGGAAACCUUGACUAAAGCCUUGCACAGUGCUAGUUCCAUGAGUUCGAGAGCUGGAUGUCCGAUGUGGUCAAGAAGCUUGACCGAAGUAAUGGAUACCUAAGCUUAAUAGAUAUUCUGUUCAAUGUUCACUGGGAUUUCCGUUUAUUUGUGUCAUGCAUGUUACUAUCUGAAUGUUGAAUUCAGUAUUUGUUUAUUGUGUCAAAGGUGUAUGUGUGUGUGCACUAUGAUGUUAGUGCAUUCCCAAUCUCAAUGCAAGUCUUCACAUUAUUGUGUUUACAUUAACUAGUGCCUGCUAACCAGUAUGUCAUGCUUAACUGGUUUGGACCAGGAUUUUUGUCAGGAAUAGAGUUAACCCUAGAUCUGUGCUAAAUUCAAUGGGCAUUUAUAUCUGUACUUGUUACAUUUUUUUUUUUGGGGGGGGGGGGAAUUCUUUUACAAUUUGGCUCAGUAAAAAUUUAUUGAAUACUUCUGAAUUUGUUUUUGGUGAAUAGUAAAGUUUUUGCACCUGUUGCAACUUUUCUUAGCUAAGGUAACAAGGUUCAGAUACAAGUCCGGCAGAAAUCUUUGAGGGCCCUGAUCUGGUUGUUAGCUACAGUUUGAUAUUCUGACACUUUCACUGCUGAUACAAUGAACAGUGCUCAAAUGUGUGACAUGUUAGAGCGUACAGAUGCCAAAUAGACAUUUUCACCUCUCUUAUUGGUUGUAAUAAUAAUAAUAAAGAUAAUAAUAAUAAUAAAGAUUUAUUACUUCCCUUAUUUAAAGCAAUUAAGGCUCAAAGCACUUUACAAAAGGAAGACAAAUACACAAAAUAAACAGAGCACACAUAGGGACACAGACCUGAAACAUGUCAGAAAAUAAAAAGGACAGACACUUUAGCGGACAUAAACACGAGAGGGAGAGAAACCCGCUCACGAAGCCUGUCUGGGUAGCUCAGAAAUAACGAGUGGCAGACCAUGCGGGCGGAAAAAAAGAAGAGUUUGUGCUCUUGAAUUGGAGAAAGGGUAACGACAAAAACUUGAGACAGCAGAGCAUAUGACUGUCGAUUCUGGUCGUUAAAAUAAUCAUGCAGUGGUAUAGCAUUUGCAUCAACAGUCGGAAAAAAAAAUACAGCAAUGGCCAAAAAAAAAAAAAAGUUCAAUGUAUGUCACUGACACACACUCUCUGGCUGGCCAGUCAGGCAAAGAAAGUCCAGGGUUCAGGUUUAGCAUAGGGCUGUUCCACAAGCAGUCAUGUUCACAGUGCUUGACUAGGUUUUAGACUUUUUGUUUACUAAUUGUAAAAUGUGUCGUGUACCAGCUCCAUCACUCCCUGACACUGCUGACAGACACACAUACACACCAUAGGGCACACGUCCACAGUCCAAGAAAGAGUCGUAGGUAAGCCAGACACAAGAAGCACACCGUAUAAAUUAGUUUUCAUGUUCAUAGUGGUCUGGACCUGCCGGCGAAAUUCAAAAUCUGGGAGAUUAUUUUCAUAGCAACAUAAAUUUGCAUAGAGUAAAUCAUAAUCAGGUAAAUGUUUUUAUUUAGAGUAUAUGUACACGUAAAUUCAAAGAACGCCAAGUCACUAGCGUAAAGUAGAGCUAAGCCAGUUAAACUGAUGGAGUUUUAUAGCUUUGUAACCUUUAUCUGACCUCACUAUACCAGGCAACAUCUGUUGUAUGAAAAGAAAGAAGUAGAAAUGAUAAGCAAUAUCUGAUACGCUAGCUGGUAUAGAUAAUUAUGACAGAACAUUAAUUUUACUUUUCUCAUUACUAAAAGUGUCCUUCAUACCUGCGAUUAACCUGAAAUACGAGAUUCUUUUUGAACAGAUUUGUGUUCAUCAUCUGGUCUCCAAAAGUCAUUGGCUAAUGGUGGUCUAGGGUAUAAAAAGGUGGACAUCUCUCCUCUUCUCCACCACUGCUCUUGGCGGGACAUCCUGUGACUGACAGCGUUCACCUGAAGGUGUGCCAUAUAGUGAGAGUUAAAAAACACCCCCCCUGCCUGAAACUAACCUGACAAAUAAUCAGGCCAUCUCCCACCUCCACACUUACACAGAUACAGCGAAGCCUGAGUGUAACCUAAAUAAUUAACUACAGACAUUAAUUUAAUGGAUUAAAAUUGAUCUUACAGUAUAGGAAUUUUCUUUCAAAAAAAACCAACCAAAAAACCAAAAACAACAACAAAACAACAACAACAACAACAACAACAAAAACUAACGUGCAAAACAUCUCCGAUUAUGUCCCUGUUAGAUCACCUACAUCUACGUCUGCACCAACAGGUGUAUGUGGCUAUGACACUCUACUUGAUAAAUGUUUUACCCAAAAGGUAGAUGAAAAUGCACGCGUGUGUUUUAGAAUGGUAGACUUCGACCAAUCCAUUAAAAAAACCCCAACACAAUGCCAGUCAAGUAUGAAAAGUGAAGCCAUGUCAAUGUUCAUGUGAAAAUUCCACAAGUUCAGCUGUCGGCUAUAACUGACAAUGGCAGUCGCUCUACUGAUCCUCAUGGUGGCCAUGGUACCAGCAUUAAACUUCAACUUUCCCUACCUGUCUCGAGUCAACACACGAGAAAUAGAAAAUGCUCUCCCUGAGCCGCUAGUGGAUUUCUUGGCUACAUUUCCCUCCCGUCUGCUAAACGGCACGAUGGUGUUUGACAAAGUCUCGACAAACAGCGGAGGCGGUUACAGCAAUACCACCGGGGUCUUCACUGCACCUCGCGGAGGUUUCUACGUCUUCGACGUCAUCCUGGUCCAGAAUCUGACUGAUAGACUAGAGGAUUCAAACUGGAAUUUGAAUGUCAACGGACAGAUGGUGCCGCGCAGGUUGUCAUAUUCUUACUUUAGCAUCACCCAGUACGAGUACACGGUGACCCUACAGGCUGGAGACAAAGUCUCAGUCUCCAGUCAAGAUUCACUCAACUUCUUUCCAGCUGACUCUAGCUCCUUCAGUGGCUCGCUCGAAAAGGAUCUUUAAACUGAAAACCGUUUAACAAAGCAGUCUCGAAGUUUCAUUUUUGGGUAUCUAAUAACCACUUUUGUGCCAUCUAUUCUUUUUACUGUGUGAAACAGUAAGAUGUUCUAAGAUGAUUGUACAUCUCAAAGAAAGAUGUCCAUUUUAAUGCUCUGAAAACUAAUGCACCAUUCUGUGAAAAGCAAAAUAUGAAAAGCAGCUUAACCUUAAUGUUUCUAACCAACCUUUGUUUUCCUUUAUCAGCAUCAAUGAACCUACACUAUCAUACUCUAACUUCAGACAGUGCUGUACUUCUAAACAGUUACUGCAUUUUCGUAUUCAGCCAUAGCAUGUGUGUGCAGAUUUGGCAUUAAAAUGUUUUA